ACACUGAUGGUGAAGUGGAAUCACAAUUGAGACCGCAUAGGUCUAUGCGCAUCCCAAGAAUCGAGGGUUCGAAUCCCUCUCGGUGUC
Pluteus cervinus is the source of this 87-nucleotide non-coding RNA. The record is from the annotation of a GenBank genome assembly. NCBI's taxonomy places the organism in Eukaryota, Fungi, Basidiomycota, Agaricomycetes, Agaricales, Pluteaceae.